GGACAGGUAGUUUAGAUGACUAGAACAGACCAAGGGUCUUCAAAGGGCCAGGGGUAAAACGGUGGUUAAAGUCCACCCCUGUCCACCA
RNAcentral lists this transfer RNA (88 nucleotides) under Bdellovibrio sp. CG10_big_fil_rev_8_21_14_0_10_47_8. RNAcentral describes it as "tRNA-OTHER". It matches the Rfam family "tRNA". Rfam says of the family: Transfer RNA (tRNA) molecules are approximately 80 nucleotides in length. Their secondary structure includes four short double-helical elements and three loops (D, anti-codon, and T loops). Lineage: Bacteria; Pseudomonadati; Bdellovibrionota; Bdellovibrionia; Bdellovibrionales; Pseudobdellovibrionaceae. The record is from RNAcentral.